AUGGCUCUGAGGCACAGCACGCGGUUCCGCGCGGUCACCGCGUUCCUCGGCGUGCUCUCCUUCGUCCUCGCCGUCGUCGCCGAGCUCAAGAAGCCGCCGUACCGGAUGCCGAUCAGAGGCGCGGACGUGGUCGUCUGCCGGCUCCCGCCGGACCCGACGGUGGCGCUGGGCGCCCUGUCCGCGCUCGCCGCCGCGUGCUGCGCCGGGAUCGGCGCCGUCUCCGUCUUCUUCCCCUACGACGGCAGGUCCAUCCCCAGGAAGGCCCUCUUCGACUACACGCCAUGCUCCACGUCUUCUUCCAUCUCGCCAUGCGCCACGGUGGCCGGGAUAGGGACGACGACGUGGGCGACAGCGACGGAGGCCAUGCACCACGUCCGGAACGUGCACCGCAACCUCGGGUACGCCUGCCCGACGGCCGAGACUGGGCUGCUCGGCGCCGCCGCGUUCCUCAACCUCGACGCCUCGCUCUUCUGGCUCAUAUGCGUCAUGCUCGUUGGCAACGUCACGGAAGACUACUUCGACGGCCGGGACGAGAUCGGCGGCGACGGAGGCGCAGGGAUAGGAGAGAAGUGA
Molecule: ribosomal RNA, 573 nt
Filed under: Triticum aestivum (bread wheat)
Lineage: Eukaryota; Viridiplantae; Streptophyta; Magnoliopsida; Poales; Poaceae
Description: partial small subunit ribosomal RNA
Source: RNAcentral